This 610-nucleotide ribosomal RNA is filed under the name uncultured bacterium. Its description in RNAcentral is "bacterial SSU rRNA". It matches the Rfam family "Bacterial small subunit ribosomal RNA", at positions 68 to 677 of the family's 1533-position model. The record is from RNAcentral.
UGAGUAGCAAUACAAGUGGCGUUCAGUGGCGCACGGGUGAGUAACACGUGAAUUACAUGCCCUUCAGUGGGGAAUAACCAGCCGAAAGGCUGACUAAUACCCCAUAGUCUCGCAAGAGUAAAGGUGGCCCGCAAGGGCUGUCGCUGGAGGAUUGGUUCGCGUCCUAUCAGCUUGUUGGCGGGGUAACGGCCCACCAAGGCUACGACGGGUACCUGGUCUGAGAGGACGAUCAGGCACACUGGAACUGAGACACGGUCCAGACACCUACGGGUGGCAGCAGUCGAGAAUAAUUCACAAUGGGGGCAACCCUGAUGGUGCAACGCCGCGUGGAGGAUGAAGGUCUUCGGAUUGUAAACUCCUGUCAUCCGGGGGUAAGACCUGGCUGUGAAUAGCAGACAGGGUUGAUAGUACCGGAAGAGGAAGGGACGGCUAACUUCGUGCCAGCAGCCGCGGUAGUACGAAGGUCCCGAGCGUUGUUCGGAAUCACUGGGCGUAAAGGGAGCGUAGGCGGCGUGGUAAGUCAGAUGUGAAAUCCCGGGGCUCAACCCCGGAACUGCAUCCGAUACUGCCAUGCUAGAGCAAUGGAGAGGUAGCUGGAAUUCUUGGUGUA